This 552-nucleotide ribosomal RNA is filed under the name uncultured bacterium. Its description in RNAcentral is "partial 16S ribosomal RNA". It matches the Rfam family "Bacterial small subunit ribosomal RNA", at positions 355 to 902 of the family's 1533-position model. The record is from RNAcentral.
CUAAGAAUAUUCCGCAAUGGACGGAAGUCUGACGGAGCGACGCCGCGUGGAUGACGAAGGCCGAAAGGUUGUAAAGUUCUUUUGCUGGGGAAGAAUAACCGCAGGAGGGAAUGCCUGUGGGAUGACAAGAACCGGCGAAUAAGCCCCGGCCAACUACGUGCCAGCAGCCGCGGUAACACGUAGGGGGCGAGCGUUGUUCGGAAUUACUGGGCGUAAAGGGCAUGUAGGCGGCUUGGAAAGCCUGGCGUGAAAGUCUGCAGCUUAACUGCAGGGGUGCGCUGGGAACUGCUGAGCUUGAGUGACGGAGAGGGAGCUGGAAUUCCUGGUGUAGGAGUGAAAUCUGUAGGUAUCAGGAAGAACACCGAUGGCGAAGGCAAGCUCCUGGCCGAUGACUGACGCUGAGGUGCGAAAGUGUGGGGAUCAAACAGGAUUAGAUACCCUGGUAGUCCACACAGUCAACGAUGUGCACUAGGUGCUGGGGCGGUAGCUUCGGUGCCGGAGCGAACGUGGUAAGUGCACCGCCUGGGGAGUAUGCUCGCAAGGGUGAAACUC